This 498-nucleotide ribosomal RNA is filed under the name uncultured bacterium. RNAcentral describes it as "partial 16S ribosomal RNA". It matches the Rfam family "Bacterial small subunit ribosomal RNA", at positions 28 to 508 of the family's 1533-position model. The record is from RNAcentral.
GAUGAACGCUGGCGGCGUGCCUAAUACAUGCAAGUCGAGCGAACGGACGAGAAGCUUGCUUCUCUGAUGUUAGCGGCGGACGGGUGAGUAACACGUGGAUAACCUACCUAUAAGACUGGGAUAACUUCGGGAAACCGGAGCUAAUACCGGAUAAUAUUUUGAACCGCAUGGUUCAAAAGUGAAAGACGGUCUUGCUGUCACUUAUAGAUGGAUCCGCGCUGCAUUAGCUAGUUGGUAAGGUAACGGCUUACCAAGGCAACGAUGCAUAGCCGACCUGAGAGGGUGAUCGGCCACACUGGCACUGAGACACGGUCCAGACUCCUACGGGAGGCAGCAGUAGGGAAUCUUCCGCAAUAGGCGAAAGCCUGACGGAGCAACGCCGCGUGAGUGAUGAAGGUCUUCGGAUCGUAAAACUCUGUUAUUAGGGAAGAACAUAUGUGUAAGUAACUGUGCACAUCUUGACGGUACCUAAUCAGAAAGCCACGGCUAACUACGUGC